Cynocephalus volans (Philippine flying lemur) is the source of this 69-nucleotide small nucleolar RNA. RefSeq annotates it as small nucleolar RNA SNORD77. The record is from RefSeq and is a predicted model, not a curated record. NCBI's taxonomy places the organism in Eukaryota, Metazoa, Chordata, Mammalia, Dermoptera, Cynocephalidae. The transcript has a single exon.
AAACAGAUGAUGGUUGCAUACAUAGUUCAACAGAUUGAAGCAUGAAGAGAUAUACUGUUUAACGUAUCU